This 2148-nucleotide ribosomal RNA is filed under the name Triticum aestivum (bread wheat). RNAcentral's name for it is "partial small subunit ribosomal RNA". Lineage: Eukaryota; Viridiplantae; Streptophyta; Magnoliopsida; Poales; Poaceae. The record is from RNAcentral.
GAGGGGAGGGGUGGGAGCCGUGUAGUAGGUAGGAGUGAGGCGUGCCCGGGUCGGGUUUAUGGGAGGGCUGGGAGGUGGGGAGAGCGGCGUUUGGGAUUGGGAUCGGGGGGCGGGGGAGCGGCGGCGGGGUUAGGCGCGGCGUGGCCGCCGGCGAGGGGAGGCUCCAUUUCGCGCCGGAACCAGGCCCCUAUCCGCGGAAGGCACUACCUACCCGAGCCCUUGAGACGCGACUUGCGGAGUCUUCGCCACUACUUCUCCGGGUCCUCGCACCGCAGGUCCUCCGGCUCCGGGUUCCUCGUCGAGCGAAGGCUCAUGUUCCUGUAUAGCACGCGCGGAAGCGCCUCGUAAAGGGGGCUUCUGCUCCGGCGACGGCUCCGGUCGCCAGUUGCCGCCUUCCUCGACAUGGAGUUGCCCGGACUUCCAUCCCCGAGGUGGGUGGUAUCCUUACGGGACAGGUUCUUCUAUUUCUUUCUCCUCCCUAGACGUCCCCUAUUACUAUAACCGGUGUUAGCCUCGUCGUUCGGGUUGCUACGGUUCGUAUAAUGAGUACCACAAGAACGUGACCGAAGGAGUUCUUUGAGACCUAGGUGACUGCGGAGCGUCAACAGGAGUUCCCUGUGGGGACACGGUCACCUUUUAUCCCACUCUUUUCAAUUCGAGUUCCAAUCGCCUGAAUUGGCUUAGUAUGGUUUUGUUCUCGGACAACUGCAACCGUACGGACCGUGUAGCCUACAGAGAAAGGUAGCGGUUUUCGUCUUCCUAAGACCACUCGUCUUUGUAGUGUCGUGUUCUUUCCAAUCAGUACCAUUAGUGCAACUACCUUUUGCACCUCUAUUCGUACUGUAAAGUGGUAGAAGACUGGACCAAGCGUUUUCGUUUUCCCAGGGAUUCUUCGCUUGAGAACUAAGACUACUACUUCUACCACUUAAUGAAAUAGAACUUUUUGAAUUUCACCGAUUUCGACGUGGUCUUGUCGUGUACCGAUGACUGGUCGGAGAUCGAAUACCAAUACCACUCCUACCAGAGUCCUUCUUCGAUAGGUUCCAAAGAUUUUUAUUCUCGUGAGGAAUACUUCACCUGUUGCUGAAGUGAUACAGUGUUAAAUCGUCUCUACAAUCCUUCUUCCACUUUGACCUCCUAUGGUCACUAAAAUAACAUCUCCUCCUUAAACCCAACCUACACAGACUAUCUAAUUAACUUCGACUAAGUGGAAGCCCACAUUUCUAACUUCGAGGACCGGAUUGUUGUUCCGUCGCUCGGGAGGUUCCGUCCCCACCGGUACCACUUUCGUACUAACUUAAAGGGCUGCCCAAUGGUCGACGAGGUAGUAGAUCUUCCGUUUUCCUAUUCGAAAGUCUACACCUCUAUGUUCGGUUUUUUCGUCUUCACCGAGUCUCCGCAUUCUACGUUCAUCUCUUCCGUCUCUCUCUCGUUGUCCGACUUCGUUACUCCUUUUAUAACCCCUAACUGUGACUCUUCUUCUUCCUUCUCUUCUUCGUCUUUCUUGCACUUCUGUUCCUUUUCGUUCGUUUUAAGCUCCUUAUAUUUUCUUCGACGUAGGUCACGCAUUACGCUGGUCUUCCUUGUCAACAAUGUAAGGGACUAUGGUACCCGGAAGGAUCGUAUAAAUUGAGGUUUGGAUAGUCGAUGGGUGGAGGUUCCCUCUUCACGCGUCCGGGGAGCACGGGUUUGGGAAUGUUCAUGGCACUGAGGUUCUGCUUCGAGGGCGAGACGUCGGACCUCACGAUGUUCCGGCAGGUCCCUCCGCGACCCUGCUACCGCACGACUACGAUGUCUCAGCCACCACGUUCAUUUGCGUGUUGGCACCCGCCUGUACCUCCUCGACCUCUUGACGUAGAGUGGGUUACGGGACGGACAAAACGGCAAAAACGCAACGGAAACGAUCAGACUCCUAACUUUUGACUCGCCACUGCCUACUACAACUCCACGGACGACGACCAAAGGAAACAACCAGGAGCACCUACAUACAUACAUCAUCGACCCAGCACGUUUUCUCAGACCAAAUACGCACACCGUUCACCUCCUAAUCAACACUUAACACAUGUCACUACCAGCCCGAACUGCGAUUCCGCAACCGAUACUACCAUACUCAACUGAAGCGAGCAAUAGGUAGUAACAAAGAGCAAC